AACGAACGCUGGCGGCAUGCCUAACACAUGCAAGUCGAACGAGACCUUCGGGUCUAGUGGCGCACGGGUGCGUAACGCGUGGGAACCUGCCCUUAGGUUCGGAAUAACUCCCCGAAAGGGGUGCUAAUACCGGAUAAUGUCUUCGGACCAAAGAUUUAUCGCCUUUGGAUGGGCCCGCGUUGGAUUAGCUCGUUGGUAGGGUAAAAGCCUACCAAGGCGACGAUCCAUAGCUGGUCUGAGAGGAUGAUCAGCCACACUGGGACUGAGACACGGCCCAGACUCCGACGGGAGGCAGCAGUGGGGAAUAUUGGACAAUGGGCGAAAGCCUGAUCCAGCAAUGCCGCGUGAGUGAUGAAGGCCUGAGGGUUGUAAAGCUCUUUUACCCGGGAUGAUAAUGACAGUACCGGGAGAAUAAGCGCCGGCUAACUCCGUG
Molecule: ribosomal RNA, 433 nt
Filed under: uncultured bacterium
Lineage: Bacteria
Description: partial 16S ribosomal RNA
Rfam family: Bacterial small subunit ribosomal RNA
Source: RNAcentral